This 253-nucleotide ribosomal RNA is filed under the name uncultured bacterium. RNAcentral's name for it is "partial 16S ribosomal RNA". It matches the Rfam family "Bacterial small subunit ribosomal RNA", at positions 524 to 776 of the family's 1533-position model. The record is from RNAcentral.
UACGUAGGGUGCAAGCGUUGUCCGGAAUUAUUGGGCGUAAAGAGCUCGUAGGCGGUCUGUCGCGUCGGUUGUGAAAACCCGGAGCUCAACUCCGGGCCUGCAGUCGAUACGGGCAGACUGGAGUUCGGCAGGGGAGACUGGAAUUCCUGGUGUAGCGGUGAAAUGCGCAGAUAUCAGGAGGAACACCGGUGGCGAAGGCGGGUCUCUGGGCCGAUACUGACGCUGAGGCGCGAAGGCGUGGGGAGCGAACGGG